GGGGAAACUCGUGGACCUGAUUAUCCUUCGUCAAGGUCUUGAAAUCAUGCCAUCGGACAACACGAUGUGACAUUUGCCUGACAGUGUUCUCCUUCUGGCUGAAUCCAGUGUGUGUGCCCAUAAACCUGUGCUUUCCCUCUACACGACUGAGCCGCAAGGAGACACCUGUCGAAGAAAAAUCUCUCGGCCGGUGAGCGUCCCCACACCCCCCGGACCUUUCACGAGGAGGAAUUCCAAGCUCAGGUUCCUUCCUCUUCCCCGCCAUCUACCAUUGCCAGGAUCCAGUCUGUCACACCCAUCCCCCACCAUUGACUUUGAAUUUGGCAAGUCCCCAAGGUGGAGACAUUUUGGGCUGAGUCCUUCAGAUUAAGUGGCUCUCCAGGC
RNAcentral lists this long non-coding RNA (384 nucleotides) under Scleropages formosus (Asian bonytongue). RNAcentral's name for it is "lncRNA (ENSSFOG00015026910.1)". The record is from RNAcentral. Lineage: Eukaryota; Metazoa; Chordata; Actinopteri; Osteoglossiformes; Osteoglossidae.